Tinamus guttatus (white-throated tinamou) is the source of this 124-nucleotide non-coding RNA. NCBI's taxonomy places the organism in Eukaryota, Metazoa, Chordata, Aves, Tinamiformes, Tinamidae. The record is from RefSeq and is a predicted model, not a curated record.
AACAGAGGGAGAAAUUUGGUGGUAAUGUAAUGUAUGAGUCUCAAAUAUACAUAAAUGUAAAAAGAUGGUCUCAGGUUUUGUGUGUCCUUUGAAGAGUCAAAGGACAGAAGCAGGGGACACAAAU